Molecule: ribosomal RNA, 245 nt
Filed under: uncultured bacterium
Lineage: Bacteria
Description: partial 16S ribosomal RNA
Rfam family: Bacterial small subunit ribosomal RNA
Source: RNAcentral
GGCGACCGGCGCACGGGUGAGUAACGCGUAUGCAACUUACCUAUCAGAGGGGGAUAGCCCGGCGAAAGUCGGAUUAAUACCCCAUGAAACAGGGGUCCCGCAUGGGAAUAUUUGUUAAAGAUUCAUCGCUGAUAGAUAGGCAUGCGUUCCAUUAGGCAGUUGGCGGGGUAACGGCCCACCAAACCGACGAUGGAUAGGGGUUCUGAGAGGAAGGUCCCCCACAUUGGAACUGAGACACGGUCCAA